Molecule: unclassified non-coding RNA, 318 nt
Filed under: uncultured Rozellomycota
Lineage: Eukaryota; Fungi; Rozellomycota
Description: uncultured Cryptomycota sequence contains ITS2
Source: RNAcentral
AACGCACCUUGCACCGUAUGAGCAAUCGUACGGUAUACCUGUUUGAGAAUCGUAAAACCCUCUUUCUACUACCCUUUGGGGUUUGUGGAAGAUUUGUUGGUUGUGCACCUCGGUGUACUCUGAUUAAAAGGAUCAAGUCUGGAUUUGGCUGGUGGCCAAGGACACUGUGUGCUAGAGACGUCGCUUCGGCUGACUGUCUUCUCACAGUGCGUCCUAGGCUAUUCAAAGCUGGUCUCAUCCUAGACUUUUCAGUGUGCCUAAAAACCACACAACCUUUUUUUUGAUCUCAAAUCAGGUAAGGCUACCCGCUGAACUUAA